Magnolia sinica is the source of this 623-nucleotide long non-coding RNA. RefSeq lists it as uncharacterized. Lineage: Eukaryota; Viridiplantae; Streptophyta; Magnoliopsida; Magnoliales; Magnoliaceae. The record is from RefSeq and is a predicted model, not a curated record. The transcript has 4 exons.
CCCCCUCAAACAUACUUUCUAAAAUUUCAUCUCUCCCUCCACUCUGGAGAAAAAAAACCCAAAUCAGCAUCGCUUUCCCUCUCUCAAUCUCCCGCGCAUCCCUUUUCUCUCUCUCUCUCUCUAUCUCCCGAACCCUCCCUCACGAAUACUCCCCUCUCAUGAACCCCUCGUCUCUCCCUAAGCAUCCCCUCUCUCUCGAUCUCACGAACCCCUCUUCUCUCCCUCCCGGACGUUAAUGAUCUUAUCAACCUCCUCCAUGGCUCCGACCCCAUUAGGGUCGAGCUCAAUCGCCUCAAGAAUGAGGUCCAAGUUGUUGACCAACUCAAGAACAAAGAAUCUCGAAUUAGCUGAAGAUUUCUUAAAAAAAUUCUAUCUUUUCUAGAUAAGAAGGAAAAGAGUGGAAAACCCAAAAACCUGAGGAGAAAAACCCAUAAUUCAUGUAAAAGUAAGGGGUUCUGCAAAUGUUACGCUACUGUAGCUUGGAUUUUUUUAAGAUAAAGAUAGGGAAUUGGCAGAUGGACAGGCAGAAAUCAAGGCGUUGAAGUACUCAGAACGCCUUAGAGAAAAAGCAGUCGAAGAGGUGAUAUGAAUGACAUGUGAAAUAAGGCCUUUAUUGUUACUUA